AUUGAACGCUGGCGGCAUGCUUUACACAUGCAAGUCGAACGGUAACAGGUUAAGCUGACGAGUGGCGAACGGGUGAGUAAUGCAUCGGAACGUGCCCGGUCGUGGGGGAUAACGCAGCGAAAGCUGCGCUAAUACCGCAUACGAUCUGAGGAUGAAAGCGGGGGACCGUAAGGCCUCGCGCGAUCGGAGCGGCCGAUGUCAGAUUAGGUAGUUGGUGGGGUAAAGGCUCACCAAGCCGACGAUCUGUAGCUGGUCUGAGAGGACGACCAGCCACACUGGGACUGAGACACGGCCCAGACUCCUACGGGAGGCAGCAGUGGGGAAUUUGGACAAUGGGCGCAAGCCUGAUCCAGCAAUGCCGCGUGCAGGAAGAAGGCCUUCGGGUUGUAAACUAGCUUUGUACGGUAGCGAAAAGGUCUUCCUAAUACGGGAGGCUGAUGACGGUACCGUAAGAAUAAGCACCGGCUAACUACGUGCCAGCAGCCGCGGUAAUAC
This 495-nucleotide ribosomal RNA is filed under the name uncultured bacterium. RNAcentral describes it as "bacterial SSU rRNA". It matches the Rfam family "Bacterial small subunit ribosomal RNA", at positions 29 to 526 of the family's 1533-position model. The record is from RNAcentral.